This is a long non-coding RNA of Bradysia coprophila, 1334 nucleotides long. The record is from RefSeq and is a predicted model, not a curated record. Lineage: Eukaryota; Metazoa; Arthropoda; Insecta; Diptera; Sciaridae.
AUAAAGGAACUCAAAUGUGAGCUAGUUACUUCAAACAUUUAGCUCUUCAGGUGUGACGAGUGAGGCACUAAAUCCGGUUUUACUUAAUUCUUCUUGAAUAAUUGCAACAAAAUACCUCCAAUUCCGGUACACUAUUCCAUGCGAAAUGAAAUUUGUGUUUACCGAAAUAGCUUAUAACACCUCGGAAACGUUACAGUCACAUUCAUGGAAAAUUUUCAACGGCAUUAAAACCGUUGCCUUGUUUUGUAACAGAAUUAUUAUUACCGAACACAUAAACCCGAAUGCAUUAUAAAUUCACUUGAAAAUUUUCAAAAUUACAACAAUACAUUACCCAAAUGCCUUUCAAUUAGUACAACAAAUUUCCAAGCGUCAUAAUUUUCAACAAACAUGUAUUUGUCACAUAAUAUUGUGUCUGAAAUUGUUUACGAUAUAGGGGUUGCAUUUCGUACAAUGUUAUACUUAUUGCCGAGCUAAAGCUGAACUCCCAUAUUUUGGAGAACAUAAAUUGGUGGAACGUUAGGUAUGUACGGUUGCGGGGUAUGAGCUUUGUAACUCAAACCUUACUUCUCCACAUCAACUCCGGCGUUUUUUUUUUAUUUUGUUGUUGUGUUGCCUGAAAACGAAAACAUAGAACAAUAUGUAGAUUUGUGGUGUACAAGGGAACAGCCGCACACGAAAACCGUUUGAAAUGACACUACUCUCGUACAAAUGCAAUUUCCAUUUCCACCGAAAAUUUCUACAUAAAGUUAUGUGAUACGUAGAUGCUGUUUCAUAAAAUUUUCUUCGUUUCGCUGUUGUGUUUGCAUGGAUGAAUGUGGCGUUGCGGCUAUACACCAACUCACUAAAUGGCGUACAUAUAUAUAUCUGGGGCUCUGUGUAUCAUGAUGUUAGUGUUGCAAGUCAUAUCCGAUCAAAGUUUUCACAAAAUGCAUAACUCCCAUCAUCCUCUCGUUUUUCUCGCCCCCCUAUUGUGUGCUGCAAAUUCGAUUGAAUACGUGUUCCAUUUCGAAAUGGAAAAUGUUAGCAUAUCAUACGGAUUUUGAGCAAUUUCGUUGGAAUAUAUUCUUGGUUUUAGGUUGGAGGUAAUCGAAAUACGGUCACGGAAUGGAGCUUUAUCCAGGUUCAGACAAAGUGGAGUACACUUUCCCCAUUAAAAAAAAACCAAAUUUUAUGAAUGCCAUAAAGAACAAAAGCGACCGACUCUAUGGUAGUAAAUAGAAUGUCGAUGAGUUUUAUGGAUCUCAAACAUUCAAAACAUAAUCCACUUAACGAAUAUAACAUUUUGAUUUGUACAAAUAAACCGUAACCCUCGUUCGUUUUCACGCACGCACCGA